CUAUAAUUGUCAGCUAAGUGGCGCACGGGUGAGUAAUGUAUAGAUAACCUGCCCUUAAGAAAGGAAUAACAGUUGGAAACGACUGCUAAUGCCCUAUAUGCCUUUAAUACAUAAGUAUGCAAGGGAAACGCUUUAGUGCUUAAGGAUGGGUCUGUAUGGUAUCAGCUUGUUGGUGAGGUAAUAGCUCACCAAGGCUAUGACGCCUAACUGGUUUGAGAGGAUGAUCAGUCACACUGGAACUGAGACACGGUCCAGACUCCUACGGGAGGCAGCAGUGGGGAAUAUUGCACAAUGGACGAAAGUCUGAUGCAGCAACGCCGCGUGGAGGAUGACACAUUUCGGUGCGUAAACUCCUUUUAUAUAGGAAGAUAAUGACGGUACUAUAUGAAUAAGCACCGGCUAACUCCGUGCCAGCAGCCGCGGUAAUACGGAGGGUGCAAGCGUUACUCGGAAUCACUGGGCGUAAAGAGCGUGUAGGCGGGUAUAUAAGUCAGAAGUGAAAUCCAAUAGCUCAACUAUUGAACUGCUUUUGAAACUGUAUACCUAGAAUGUGGGAGAGGUAGAUGGAAUUUCUGGUGUAGGGGUAAAAUCCGUAGAGAUCAGAAGGAAUACCGAUUGCGAAGGCGAUCUACUGGAACAUUAUUGACGCUGAGACGCGAAAGCGUGGGGAGCAAACAGGAUUAGAUACCCUGGUAGUCCACGCCCUAAACGAUGUACACUAGUUGUUGUGAGGCUCGACCUUGCAGUAAUGCAGUUAACACAUUAAGUGUACCGCCUGGGGAGUACGGUCGCAAGAUUAAA
RNAcentral lists this ribosomal RNA (801 nucleotides) under uncultured bacterium. RNAcentral describes it as "bacterial SSU rRNA". It matches the Rfam family "Bacterial small subunit ribosomal RNA", at positions 78 to 898 of the family's 1533-position model. The record is from RNAcentral.